ACAGCUGUAGGGUUCCUUGAGCCGCCGCCGCACCGGAGCUCCUCGACCAGCCCCACCUCAUGCCGCUCCACCCACUGCUUCUCCCUCCGCCCGCGCCGCUCUCUUCCCCGCCGGCGCUGCCCACCAUGAGCGGGGAGGCCCCAGAUCGUCUCGAGCAAGUCAGCGGGGCGGUGGCCAGAUCCACCACGGCAACAUCUCGUCCAGAUGGGUCGCGCCGGGAGAGGUAGAUCGAGGCGGCGGGCACCGUGUGCGUCUUGUCUCUUGGGACGCCGCUCCGACCCGAUCCGGCGAGGAGGCAGCCUCCGUCUGCGGCAACGAGGGCGGCGGCCGGCUGCGCGAGAGGUCGAUCUGAUUGUGCCUCCAUGAUGGCAUCGUGAUGCCCACCGCCGACGGCGCUGCGUCGCGACCAAAGGGGCACCCGGCCACGGCCGGGGACUCACUGCAGUUGAAGCACGCCAUCUCGCCACCAUGUAUGUUGUGUGUUCUUGUGCUGCAGGUCCUUGGGGUUGGGUGUUCUUGUCGCCACCAUGUUCAUGCAGGCACGAAUUGGACUGAGAAAUGCUAACAGAGGAGGAGAAGACCAUGCAAGUCCUUGGGGUUGGGUGCGGCAACUCGCGGCUCGAAGACAAUCUUUUGUGGUGGGGCGUCGCUGCCGCCGGCGGCACCUGCAUAGACCGUCUCGCUGGGAACGAAGAGAUGCUCCCCUGAUUUGGAGCUGUAGAAAGGAGGUGGUUGCAGACACAAAGUGGGGACACACAACUCCCAGUCAUAAUAUUCUUUAUCUUGGCUCGUUAUUUGGGGAUGGACGCAUCAAUCUGAUCGCGCUCUCCUCCAUGCCAAACGGAUCCUUGGUUCGGAGGUGCGCGGCGCCGACGAUGACAACCUUUCUAUUGACGCAAGGGCAGCAGGAGCUCAUGACGCUGUUGAUGCCACCACCAUGCACAGGGUUGAUGCAAGGUGGGACAAGUAUGUAUACCAGGCAAAGUACUCAAUCGGUUUGGCAUUUAGCUUUUUGAUUCUGUUUUUAGUGAGCUUUUUGAUUCAGAUAAUUUGUUUACCUGAUGCCUUCACUCCAGGUAAUCUGUCUGUCUGACAUUUUGCUUUUUGAUUCAGUGCGAUCACUAAUGGGGAGAACAUAAAACUUCAAUUGAGGGCACUGUGAUUCUCUAGCUACAUGUAUCAUGAGGGCGUCACCUGCGGCAUCACUUGCAUCGACCUCGCACCGAUCACCGUCCCGAGGAUGCACGACAGACUAGCGGAGCAGGGCACCAGUGAUUGUUUCACCAAUUUGCUCGACUCAUUGUUCCCUUCCUCUGUCCACGCAACGUUGCCCAUUGUUCCUAAGUUGUUAAUUCAUCAGGCCCAUUAUUGCGGCUACAUAGUCUGUUCAUCUUGCCUGCCUUCUUAGGAGAAACCAAUUUACUGAAGGUUGGCAAUUCCGAAGUUAUUGCCUUUCUACUUCAAACUGAAAUAAUUCCUCUUUGUCUUUAAUAUGGAGAUGGGCACUGAACUUUAAAAAGCAGUAUGAACUCAACCCCUUCUGUAAAUCAAAUAUUUCAUUUGCGGGGACGACGUGGGGCUCAUGUCGAGCACUUCACCUGCAAUGGGUGUGGCCUUCUCCGUCUGCCAAACAUGCUACAAGUACGAGCACCAUGAGGGAACUGCCUGGAGUGCAAGACCCGCCACAAGCUCCUCAAGGGUCAGUCAGCCUCCACCCACGGCCGAAGGCACUUGCAGAUGUGAAGAAUAUCCAUGUCCGAUUACAUCGCCAGAAAGCAAAAACCAUGAGAGCCCACACUAAUCAUCAAGGGAUUUUUGAAACGAGCAGAAGAUUAGUAACUUCUACGACAUCAAAGAUCUGACCUUUUAGAGUAUGCACCAUAUUGAUUUACUUAUUGAUUUAUUCACGCUAUAUCAGAUUUGUCUUGAACGUGAUACUUUAUUGACUGUACUGGACACGGGAAGUUAACUGUUUUAAUUAUAAAGGAUUAGUCUGCACCAAUUGCUGCAUAAGUUCUCCUUGAUACCAAUUUACAUACUUGUGCUACUAGGCCUUUGGUCAGUUUGCAACUGGUAUUUUAGACAUGUACGAGUAUUCUCAUGGUAUUUCUAUAUGUUUUAAUUAGUACCAGAUGGAAUUUGCGAAUUAGUCUUACAAAGAGAAGAGACAAGGAAACAUUAUUCACGAGUUUGCAGGAAUAUGGAAACUCAAGGUAGUCUGUUAGCAUAAGUAAAAAAUGUUUUUCAUUUUAUUUCUUGGUUCGACCAAAUUAUAUUUUAUCCGAACGUAUGGAUGAUCGACACAAUGGACGUACGUAGUUUCUGGUUAGCACUACUCAGAUAACAAUUAUGCCUACUAUUACCAUUUUUGUGCAUUGUUUGGUCUUAUGCAUUUUAGUUAAAUACAUCCUUUGUGACGAAUAAUGAUUUUUGAGCAUACUAUCUUCUUUUCAUGUGGGGAGAUCGCUGAUAGAAAAGAAAAUUGUGUUUAUGAUAUGUUAUGCUUAUUUCUAAGUGCUUCCAAUUUCGAACUACUAGGUAUGCAGCCUUAGAUGAACAACUACCUCUUUAUUUGCUUGAGGAUGAUUUGAUUGUGCAAUUAAGACUACAUAAUUUCACUUUUCAUUUAUAUUUAUUGGUGAGGGCGAGCUGGCGGCGGCAUGGCGCGCUGGUGCGAGUGACCGCGGGUUCGGCCAGGGUGCGAGCUGAUCUGGCAUGUGCGCUGGCGAAGUAAGGCGUAGAGGUGCUCCGGCCGGCUGGGUGCGUUGGUCCGUGGCGGAGGUGCGAGGUGGGCGUGGAUCUGGCGCCUAGCAUGCGCGAGGGAGGACAUAUGGGCGUUGUGCGUUUCUUCGCGGCGGGAGGUGUGACUGUGCUGCUCUGCAGAUUGAUGACGUUGUUCUCCUGGUUUCGUGGAUCUGCAGCGGGGUAGCCGGUGGUUGCGGCGCCAGAGAAUGCUGGGGCAGCGGCCUCGGGCUGAUGGCUGCUAUGGCAGGGGCUGCUGCACCGGCUCAGGAUGGUGGAUUUGGAGCGAUGCACUCAGAUCUGACCCUGGCAACCGCGUUGUUUCUAUGUCGCAUGAGUUGCUGCAGCUGGUCGUCGCGUGAGGGCUAUGCCGGCUGACGGCAGGGGGGUGCCCUACACAAUGUGCUUGGCUCUAAUGGUCUGGGUAUCGUUGCGUGACCAGAUUUGCAAGCAAGCUCACUGAUAGGAGAUCAGGGACUCGGGCGAAAGCUCCGUGACCUUCUUAGAGGCAUAGUCGUAGACAUCUUCCUAUCCUUUCAUGUGCUUGGGUUCUCCGGGUGAGAACCUAAACUCCAGUUUUCUGGAGUGGGUGGCGGCGGCGUUUACGUCGUAACCAUCUUCAGAGGCGUUGCCUUGGAGGGCCAGCCUUUGGAUGUCGUGUGGGGAUCUUUCGUUUUCAAGGGCGGUGUAUGUCGGGGCUGCAGCUCCGGGAUCUUCUAUUAAGUGUCGAGGCUGCGGCCUCGGGCAGUACUGCGAUGACAGCUCCAAGAGGUAGGGCUGCUUGUCGGCAUGGCUUGGGUGAGGACCUUGAAGUGCGGAAGCAGCAAGGUUGUCAGCUCCGUCAAUGCGCCCCAGUCGGGACUGUUGGACGACAUGUUGGGGCAGCGGCCCAGGAUGUGGUGCAGCGUUCGUGGUCUAUGUGCGGUUGGCCUGAGCAGCGUGAGUUGCGGGUAGCUGUAUCGUUCGGCGUAGUGCCGGCCAGGUUGUCGCUCAUCCAGGUUGCCGACCGGGAAGAGGUGUAGUGCCGGCCAAGACGAGAACAAGGGGAAGCUGCUUGGUUGUCUGUGUUCAUCAAAGGUGCUCUCUCUUUUCCAUCUUUCUUUUUAUUUACUUAAUCCUAGAUGGGUGACUACUAAUUUCCAUGUCUACUGGGAGGAAGAAGGUUGGCGGACGUAUCUUUGUGACUAUGUCAUUCACGUGCUUUGUUUCAACUCAUAAAGUGGAUCCUUUUUAAGCUAUAUCAAAUCAUAAGACAUAAUUUUCAGUUGAUUUUUUUCUUCUAAUUCCCAGAUUAUUGCUUCACAUAGACUAUUACAUAUUUAUGCUAGCCAAUUCGAAGCUUUGUCCCAAGGGCAAGCAUACCGUUGAAAAAAUAAAUACAUGUACGACAGAUCAGCCAACAACUUGUUGAUCUGUGAUUCUUUGAAAUUUGAUGCUUAUAACUGUUUAUAAGUCAGUAUUGUUCAGAGCCAAAGAUAAGUAACAAUCUAUUUGGUUAAGUUGAACACUUUCAGAUCAGGAGUAGUAGAAAUUCUUAAGGGCAUUGGGAUAUUGAACUGCAGAUAGCUUCGGCAGGUUUGUUAGGCUAAUAUAAAGUAGGGACCUUUGCUACAUAAUGAUACAAAGAUGAUACCGAAGGUUGUUUUGCAACUAGCAAGUUUCAAGGUCACAUGGAUGCUGACAGCUCUCAGGUGUAUGGCCUAUUUGUUGCUGGGUAUUGUUGCCUUUCUUCCUGGUUUAUACAGCGGAGGAUCCUGAGUUGAUGCAUAUAUUGGCUCAAAAAGUAACUAGGCUCUGAAGUGCAGAUUGACAAGAGAGUUUCUGCUGCUAUUUGUUAAAUCUUAAAGAAACGUCUGAUCCUGAGGUUUACAAGUCCCCUUGUUCAAAUAUGAAAAUGAUUUAUUUGCAAACUUCAAUGCAAAAUGGUUAGUCAGUCUCGAACAACUGCAUCUAUAUAUACUUUCUAGUUAUGCUAUUGAUGCCACAUCCAGAUUACACUUUUCUUCUCUUUUUCUUUUCUUGGGAGUAGAAAGGUCUCACUCAAGGAUCGAGCAAAUGCAGUUCUAAUGCUUGUGUCGUCUAAUUCAAAGCAUGAUGACUUUAAAUGUUCAUGAAAUAUUUCUCCUCUUAAAUCUAAAAAACUAAUAUACAUAGAAGCAUGAAAAUUAGAUUUACUGGAUUUAUUGGAUUCUAUUUGUUGCAUAAUUUAUUGCAUAUUAGACAUAACGAUGCCAAUCUAUUAUAUACAGUAUCUUUGAACUAGGUUAGAAGUUGGCAUUUCUAUCAUGCGAGCUUCAGAGAAGGAUUAAUCUGAUUGUCCUUUGAUGUUCUAGAGUUUAGUUUGUUGGUUGCUUCAGUUAUGGUGGUGUUAUUUGGAAUAAUAAUGUCUUCAGGUGCUUGUAACAUCGGUAGAAUGGUGGAAUUCUAGCAGUCAUUAGUUUCAGUUUGUGUAUAAGAAAUACCAUCAACCUAUUAUUAGUGAGCUUUGUAUUGUUUUUCUCCGUGUUUACACCUCUCUUGCUCCAAGCCUGGUGAUUCAAUUCUAACAGAGGAGCUUGCUACGGCCAUCCAGGGGGCCAGGGCGAUUAGAUGCCCAUCACUCACGGCGGCAAGAAGUUCCGUGUCGAGUUGAUGAACCAGCACCAGCUGGGAGCCCGGAUGAAGAAGGUUGUCCCGCGGAGAAAAAGGAGAAGUGAUGAGAUGUUUUUGACAGCUAAUGGAUGAUGUUAUCUUAGUCUGUGAAUUUUUGUUUUGGUCGAUUUAGAAACCUUGUUUGAUGUCUGAAGAUCCCUUUUUGCCCACUGUUCAAACCAUCUCUUCAUUUUUGUGUAAAUGGUAACAAUACACUUCAAACAAUUAAGUUGUCAUCCCAAAAAAUAUUUUGUAAAAGGAUGUACUUAUCGCCUCAAUAAUCCUUAAUCGUCA
This 5667-nucleotide ribosomal RNA is filed under the name Triticum aestivum (bread wheat). RNAcentral's name for it is "partial small subunit ribosomal RNA". The record is from RNAcentral. Lineage: Eukaryota; Viridiplantae; Streptophyta; Magnoliopsida; Poales; Poaceae.